AGUGAACGCUGGCGGCGUGCUUAACACAUGCAAGUCGAACGGUAACAGGAAGAGCUUGCUCUUUGCUGACGAGUGGCGCACGGGUGAGUAAUGUAUAGGUAACGUGCCCUAGAGUCUGGGAUAGCCACUGGAAACGGUGAUUAAUACCGGAUACUCCUCCUCGGAGGGAAAGGUUUUUCGCUCUAGGAUCGGCUUAUAUUGUAUCAGCUAGUUGGUGAGGUAAGGGCUCACCAAGGCGAUGACACAUAGCGGGUUUGAGAGGAUGAUCCGCCACACUGGUACUGAGACACGGACCAGACUCCUACGGGAGGCAGCAGUGAGGAAUAUUGCACAAUGGGGGAAACCCUGAUGCAGCAACGCCGCGUGGAGGAUGACGCAUUUCGGUGUGUAAACUCCUUUUAUCAGGGAAGAAGAUGACGGUACCUGAUGAAUAAGCGCCGGCUAACUCCGUGCCAGCAGCCGCGGUAAUACGGAGGGCGCAAGCGUUACUCGGAAUCACUGGGCGUAAAGGACGCGUAGGCGGCCCACUAAGUCAGGUGUGAAAUCCUACAGCUUAACUGUAGAACUGCACUUGAAACUGGUGGGCUAGAGUAUGGAAGGGGCAGGUGGAAUUAGUGGUGUAGGGGUAAAAUCCGUAGAUAUCACUAGGAAUACCGAAAGCGAAGGCGAUCUGCUGGGACAUAACUGACGCUGAGGCGUGAAAGCGUGGGGAGCAAACAGGAUUAGAUACCCUGGUAGUCCACGCCCUAAACGAUGAAUGCUAGUCGUCGGGGCUCUUGUAGUUCCGGUGAUGCACCUAACGGAUUAAGCAUUCCGCCUGAGGAGUACGGUCGCAAGAUUAAAACUCAAAGGAAUAGACGG
Molecule: ribosomal RNA, 861 nt
Filed under: uncultured Campylobacterota bacterium
Lineage: Bacteria; Pseudomonadati; Campylobacterota
Description: bacterial SSU rRNA
Rfam family: Bacterial small subunit ribosomal RNA
Source: RNAcentral